Molecule: long non-coding RNA, 1238 nt
Filed under: Salvator merianae (Argentine black and white tegu)
Lineage: Eukaryota; Metazoa; Chordata; Lepidosauria; Squamata; Teiidae
Description: lncRNA (ENSSMRG00000009644.1)
Source: RNAcentral
GUUGUUGGGUGGGUGGGUGGUGUGUUGUGUUUUUUUUUUCUCUUCACUCCCUUUCAAGCUAAGGAGAGUUUUCCGAGUUGUAAACAGAUAAAUCAAAGGCGAACAGAGAGGGAAAACUCAAACAAAUAUUAUUUUCUACCUCUCCCCGCUUUCUGUGGAGCGGUUGAUGCUCUGAAGGGUCAUCCCAAGCGGCUUUUAGCUAAGAGCUGGAGCCACGGAUCUCCCCUCCACCCAGAAAAAAAAUAAAACUUUUGCCAAAUUGUAACUGUUUUUCCAAGCGAUUCGGAGGGGGAACCCCCCCCCCACCAGAGGGCAAACUUUAGAGAGAUUCGUCAUGGUUAAUCAAGGAAUGCUUAAAUUGUUAAGAUAGUUGCCUUGAAUUCUGAACAAAUAAAAUACAGCCUCUUUUCCCCCUUUCUUCCAAACACGUAAUGGAGAAACGUUGAUCGGUUUUGCUCUAGGAUAAAUUCUGCUUCGUAUGGCCAGCCCAUUUUCCUAAUUUUUCACUGGACUGACAUGGGAAGGUAUUCGUUUUCUAANGCAUCAAUCAAGGUCAACCCAACAAAAUCUUGCUGCCUAGGACAUAAUCCAGUGUAUUGCCUGCACUGACUGGCAAUCCUCUCUCCAUGUGGAAGUUCUGGCAACUUACUGGUACUAUCUGCUUGCAAGGGAAGGGCCAGAAGGUCUUGGUACCCGAAGAACUGCCAGUCAUAUUCUCAUACGAGCCCAUUCAAGGAAAUUAUCAUGUCUGUGUUUUGUGGAAUGUAGCUGGAAUUGCGUGGCCUGAUUCAGCAGGGCUCUUCUUAUGUUCUAAUGAGAGGGGAGCCUAUUCCAGAGGAUGGGUGCCACCACAGAAAAGGCCCAACUGCAGGUAGUCAUGAGAUGACAUUCAGUGAUUUGUGGUACUCGUAGCAAAGAUCUUCAUGGUCUCACAGGUCUAUACAGAGACAGGCAGGCUGCUAAGUANGCUGAGUUAAGGGCGUUGUAUGCCAGAGACAAAACCUGUGGGCAGCUAAAUCACUGUCCACNGAUUUGACUGGGAACAGCUGGACUUCUUCCAGUCAGCAGCAUUUGGACCUGCUUCCGGGUANAAAUCGCAGUCGCAUGGCACAUCCCGGUUACCAUGGCACAGCCGGACAUUUCCUUGGCUGCUGUCAUGGCAGGCAGGUCGGCAUCCAUACUGCGAGUCCUGGAAACCCAGUUCAGAACUGUUCCAGCCCUCACAGUGCGGAUGGCUG